UCAGACGAUGCGUCAUGCAUAUCAAUAAGCGGAGGAAAAGAAACUAACAAGGAUUCCCCUAGUAACGGCGAGUGAAGCGGGAAGAGCUCAAAUUUGAAAUCUUAAAGGGUUUCCCUUUACGAAUUGUAGUUUAAAGAAGUGUUUUCUGUUGAGGUUUUGGUAAAAGUUCUUUGGAAUAGGACAUCAUAGAGGGUGAGAAUCCCGUAUUUGACCUUUACUUUCAACUUUGUGAUACACUUUCAAAGAGUCGGAUUGUUUGGGAAUGCAGUCCAAAAUGGGUGGUAAAUUUCAUCUAAAGCUAAAUAUUGGCGAGAGACCGAUAGCGAACAAGUACCGUGAGGGAAAGAUGAAAAGAACUUUGAAAAGAGAGUUAAAUAGUACGUGAAAUUGUCAAAAGGGAAGCGUUUAACACCAGUGUUGUUUUCUGAAAAUCAACCUCUGUUAGCUUUAUGCAUGUUUGUUUAGACCUAAUCAGCUAUCUUUCAUGUUCUAUUGUUUGCAGUGGUGCACUUUUCAGUUUACAGGUCAACAUCAGUUUUUUUUUACCGUAAAAAAGUUAAAGAAAGGUAGCUCAUGGCUCCGGUCGUGAGUGUUAUAGUCUUUUUCCUAUGCGGUAGGAGAGACUGAGGUCUGCAGUGUAGGCUAUUUGGCUAGAUACUCAGGUGCUAUGUGAUACCAUUUCAUAAACAACUUGUUGAUUAUGUUUUGUCUAUUGCAUACUCGCUUGUACUAUCAUACCUACGCUUAGGAUGUUGACUGAUAUGUAGUCGU
RNAcentral lists this ribosomal RNA (771 nucleotides) under uncultured Neocallimastigales. Its description in RNAcentral is "partial large subunit ribosomal RNA". The stretch from base 4 to 662 matches the Rfam family "Eukaryotic large subunit ribosomal RNA", at positions 24 to 664 of the family's 3401-position model. The record is from RNAcentral. Lineage: Eukaryota; Fungi; Neocallimastigomycota; Neocallimastigomycetes; Neocallimastigales.